Molecule: ribosomal RNA, 438 nt
Filed under: uncultured bacterium
Lineage: Bacteria
Description: partial 16S ribosomal RNA
Rfam family: Bacterial small subunit ribosomal RNA
Source: RNAcentral
CCUACGGGAGGCAGCAGUGGGGAAUAUUGCACAAUGGGGGAAACCCUGAUGCAGCGACGCCGCGUGAGUGAAGAAGUACUUCGUUAUGUAAAGCUCUAUCAGCAGGGAAGAAAAUGACGGUACCUGAGUAAGAAGCCCCGGCUAUCUACGUGCCAGCAGCCGCGGUCAUACGUGGGGCACGCGUUAUCCGGAUUUACUGGGUGUAAAGGGUGAGUAGGCGGUUUGGCACGUAUGGAGUGAAAUCCACGGGCUUAACCCAUGAACUGCUAUUGAAACUGUCGAGCUUGAGUGAAGUAGAGGUAGGUGGAAUUCCCGGUGUAGCGGUGAAAUGCGUAGAGAUCAGGAGGAACACCAGUGGCGAAGGCGGCCUACUGGGCUGUAACUGACGCUGAGGUACGAAAGCGUGGGUAGCAAACAGGAUUAGAUACCCUUGUAGUC